UAAGGAAUAUUGGACAAUGGAGGCAACUCUGAUCCAGCCAUGCCGCGUGAAGGAAUAAGGCCCUAUGGGUUGUAAACUUCUUUUAGACGGGACAAAACCCCUUUACGUGUAAAGGGUCGAUGGUACUGUCAGAAUAAGCAUCGGCUAACUUCGUGCCAGCAGCCGCGGUAAUACGAAGGAUGCAAGCGUUAUCCGGAAUUAUUGGGUUUAAAGGGUGCGUAGGCGGACUAAUAAGUCAGUGGUGAAAGCCUGCAGCUUAACUGCAGAAUUGCCAUUGAUACUGUUAGUCUUGAGUACAGUUGAGGUAGGCGGAAUGUGUCAUGUAGCGGUGAAAUGCUUAGAUAUGACACAGAACACCGAUUGCGAAGGCAGCUUGCUAAGCUGUAACUGACGCUGAGGCACGAAAGCGUGGGGAGCAAACA
RNAcentral lists this ribosomal RNA (422 nucleotides) under uncultured bacterium. RNAcentral describes it as "bacterial SSU rRNA". It matches the Rfam family "Bacterial small subunit ribosomal RNA", at positions 355 to 774 of the family's 1533-position model. The record is from RNAcentral.